CAUGGCAACCAAACAGCUGUCAGACUUGCAUAAAUUUCAGCGUAAUCAACUAGCAAAGAUUAACAAAGAAGAUUUAAUAGACUCCAUACUAGCAUCUGACGCACAAGAUGGUGAGCUGGCUAAACUGAACAAGACACUUGACGAGGUUAUGAAUGAAGUUAAAUUACUGAGAGACAUGAUUACUUCCCCAGAGAGUACACUGAACCAGAACUACACCGAACUCGAGGCUCAGGUCGACAAGCAGGCUGAGGUAAUGGUGAAGCAGCAGCAGUUCUUAGAAGCACUUGAUUGAAAAGAGCGAGAGGCGAACAUCAUUAUCUUGGGUGUACCGGAUGAACACGACACACUGGAAGGUGCCGCGCAUGACGAGGAGAAAAUGAGCAAGAUUUGGUCCAAAAUGGGUGUAGGCAGUGUGAGUGGUACUCAUCGUCGGCUGGGUAACAACACUUCACUCGGCACCAGGCGACGUCCCAUCCUGUUCACGCUGGCUGAUGAGGGACAACGCAGUACCAUCCUGGACAACGCCAACCGCUUGAAGACAUCUGGUGACAAUUACAACAAGAUUUAUGUCAAGGAGGAUGUCCACCCUUGUGUGAGGAGGGAGUGGCGACGAUUACGGGAAGCAGAGACGACAGAGAAGGCACGACCAGAGAAUGCAGGCUGUGCGGUACGUCUGGACACGAGGGAAGGGAAGCUGUAUAGGGAUGCAGAUGUGAUUGAUAGCUGGAAUCCUCAGUUUUUUUUAACAUCACCACAGCAUACAAGAAAGAUAAGAUCAAUGUCGUGGAACACAGGUGGAGUGCGCACAAAGUUAGAAAAGGCAGAUGUACAACAGAUGUUACAUGAUUACGACAUAAUUUGUAUUAAUGAAGUUAAAACAGCUAUGCCAGUGUCUUUCCCAGGUUAUGUGACGUGUAAGAGUAAAGAAGUUGGUGCUGCAGAGCGAGGUGGAACAGUUGUAUGUAUUAACAACUGGUCAUCUACUUCAGUAUUUGAUGUUGACACAAGCACGGGAGAUCAAGUUUGGAUGCAAUUUCGCAAUGUUGAGGGUGAACCAUUUGCCUUUUGUUACAUUCCUCCUUGUGACUCUCCGUAUUACUCCCAUGGCUUACUUGCCUCUAUUCAAGUGAAGGUAAAUUCUAGGUACAUGCAUAAAGGAUAUUUCAUUGUUGGUGACAUGAAUGCGAGAUUUGGGAACAGUGUGAGGCAAUUAUUGUCAUUAACAGAGAUACCUGAUGUGAACAACAUGUCAUACCCAGUGAUCCACGAUGAUGUAAACAGUGCUGGUGACAAUGCUGAGGUGUUGUCUGCUAUGUGCAUCGAUAACAAAUUACUUGUCAUUAAUAACCUCAUGUGUGGUGACAGACAUUUUCCUGGUGACAAAACAUUCAGAACACGUGACACUUGGAUCUCAGAGGUAGACACACGUGUGUAGCGUCUCCAUCUCUGAUUGACUGUUAAGCGAUUGUACCGUGUUAAGGCGAGGUGAUCUGCCUUCCGAUCAUGCCCCCAUUACAGUAACGGUAACUUGUACAGGUGUAGAUGUGGGGAGUCUCAGGACGAGGGCUGCGUCACUGGGAGAUCACGCAACCCUUCAUGGCAAUGCAGCAACAAUUGUUUAUUAAGGAAGUCUCUAAAAUUUCACAGAAUCAAAAAAGAAAGAUUUGUGCAAGACAUUAUGCAAAGGAUGUCUCAUGGCGAAGAUACUGAUGUUGACGCCUUUGACAAAUGUAUUAGUGAUGUACUGUAUUCGUGUGUGGAGGACAGUUUAGACAGUGGUGACAGAGCAACAAUGACAGGUAGUUGCAAUCCUGGUAGGAGGGAAAGACUGCUGAGUGAGUCAGAUGAUGCAGCAGUAUGGAGAGCUACUGACUGGAAAGGCGACUUUAACAUUGAUAGAACUGAUGACAAUUUGUGCCCCAGUGAUGAUGAUUUUAAAUGUCACUCUGAGUCUGUGCUGGACCGAGAGGAUGUGCACAAUGAUAAUGCAGAUGAUGUAACAACUCCACCAACAACAAAUGUCACUAUCCCAAUCACUAAACAAUUCUGUAUUUAAGUUCUCCUCUACGGCAGAAUCGAACUGGGAACCUUAGCGCACGGGUAAAGGACUGUGCCAAAGAGCUACCUGGCGUACAAAGAGAGAGAGAGAGAGAGAGAGAGAGAGAGAGAGAGAGAGAGAGAGAGAGAGAGAGAGAGAGCCUGGUGUGUUCCAUCGCCUCGGGUCACGUGUCAGUGUUCAGCCUGCCCAGUCUCCGCCAGCUCAUUGACAUUGAUUUCCUUCCUCUCGUCAACCUCAGGCAUUGUCCAUGAUGCUUCCUGUGUUGUGGUUCCAUCAUGGCAGGCAUGGAAGUGCCUCUCACUGCAUCACCGCCUCAUGAUCAUUGAGAGCAUGGACACAGACACUGAGGCCCUAGUGGGUACGUGGACCUCCUC
RNA transcript from Scylla paramamosain (green mud crab), 2433 nucleotides. RefSeq lists it as uncharacterized. Lineage: Eukaryota; Metazoa; Arthropoda; Malacostraca; Decapoda; Portunidae. The transcript is spliced from 3 exons. The record is from RefSeq and is a predicted model, not a curated record.